Molecule: ribosomal RNA, 459 nt
Filed under: uncultured bacterium
Lineage: Bacteria
Description: partial 16S ribosomal RNA
Rfam family: Bacterial small subunit ribosomal RNA
Source: RNAcentral
CUACGGGGGGCUGCAGUGAGGAAUAUUGGUCAAUGGACGAAAGUCUGAACCAGCCAUGCCGCGUGCAGGAUGACUGCCCUAUGGGUUGUAAACUGCUUUUGUACAGGAAUAAACCCCCGGACGUGUCCGGGGCUGAAGGUACUGUAAGAAUAAGGAUCGGCUAACUCCGUGCCAGCAGCCGCGGUAAUACGGAGGAUCCAAGCGUUAUCCGGAUUCAUUGGGUUUAAAGGGUCCGCAGGCGGGGUAUUAAGUCAGUGGUGAAAGCCGGCAGCUCAACUGUCGAAUUGCCAUUGAUACUGGUACUCUUGAGUGUAGUUGAAGUAGGCGGAAUAAGUCAUGUAGCGGUGAAAUGCAUAGAUAUGACUUAGAACACCGAUUGCGAAGGCAGCUUACUAAGCUAUUACUGACGCUCAUGGACGAAAGCGUGGGGAGCGAACAGGAUUAGAUACCCCUGUAGUC